GGAUGGGUGAGUAACACGUAGGCAACCUGCCUGUAAGAUCGGGAUAACUACCGGAAACGGUAGCUAAGACCGGAUAACUAACCGGAUCGCAUGAUGCGGUUAUGAAACACGGCGCAAGCUGUGGCUUACGGAUGGGCCUGCGGCGCAUUAGCUAGUUGGUGGGGUAACGGCCCACCAAGGCGACGAUGCGUAGCCGACCUGAGAGGGUGAUCGGUCACACUGGAACUGAGACACGGUCCAGACUCCUACGGGAGGCAGCA
RNAcentral lists this ribosomal RNA (260 nucleotides) under uncultured bacterium. RNAcentral's name for it is "partial 16S ribosomal RNA". It matches the Rfam family "Bacterial small subunit ribosomal RNA", at positions 100 to 353 of the family's 1533-position model. The record is from RNAcentral.